AGAGUUUGAUCCUGGCUCAGGAUGAACGCUAGCGGCAGGCUUAACACAUGCAAGUCGAGGGGUAGUAGUAGCAAUACUAUGAGACCGGCAAACGGGUGCGGAACACGUACACAAUCUACCUUUAUCUGGGGCAUAGCCCGAAGAAAUUCGGAUUAAUUCCCCAUAAUAUAAUUGGAUGGCAUCAUUUGAUUAUUAAAACUCCGGUGGAUAGAGAUGAGUGCGCGUCCCAUUAGCUAGUUGGUAGGGUAACGGCCUACCAAGGCGACGAUGGGUAGCUGGUGUGAGAGCACGACCAGCCACACGGGCACUGAGACACGGGCCCGACUCCUACGGGAGGCAGCAGUGAGGAAUAUUGGUCAAUGGACGCAAGUCUGAACCAGCCAUGCCGCGUGAAGGAUGAAGGCCUUCUGGGUUGUAAACUUCUUUUAUGUGGGAAGAAAACUACGGUUUCUACUGUAGCCGACGGUACCAUAGGAAUAAGCACCGGCUAACUCCGUGCCAGCAGCCGCGGUAAUACGGAGGGUGCAAGCGUUAUCCGGAUUCACUGGGUUUAAAGGGUGUGUAGGCGGGCUGUUAAGUCAGUGGUGGAAUCUCCGGGCUCAACCCGGAAACUGCCAUUGAUACUAUCAGUCUUGAAUUCUGUUGAGGUGGGCGGAAUAUGUCAUGUAGCGGUGAAAUGCAUAGAUAUGACAUAGAACACCAAUUGCGAAGGCAGCUCACUAAGCAGCGAUUGACGCUGAGGCACGAAAGCGUGGGGAUCAAACAGGAUUAGAUACCCUGGUAGUCC
RNAcentral lists this ribosomal RNA (787 nucleotides) under uncultured bacterium. RNAcentral describes it as "bacterial SSU rRNA". It matches the Rfam family "Bacterial small subunit ribosomal RNA", at positions 8 to 796 of the family's 1533-position model. The record is from RNAcentral.